Molecule: unclassified non-coding RNA, 243 nt
Filed under: Hevea brasiliensis (rubber tree)
Lineage: Eukaryota; Viridiplantae; Streptophyta; Magnoliopsida; Malpighiales; Euphorbiaceae
Source: RNAcentral
AAUCUUUUCCAUGCUUUCUCUCAGUCGCCAGCAAACCCAAAUCCCAGUACUCCACUACUAAAUCUCGACGUGGUCCGGCCACGGGGCCUAAGAUCUGACCCGGAUUGCACUGACCACAAUAGCAACCUUCUAGGUUCCUCAGCAUCAUCAAGCCAAUCAAUCUUGGGGCCUCAAGGAUCAAAUCAAGCUCCGCUUCCAUCUAUGCAAUUGCGAGCCGUACAAGACAAUGGAGCUCGCUCUUCU